RNAcentral lists this ribosomal RNA (391 nucleotides) under uncultured Gammaproteobacteria bacterium. RNAcentral's name for it is "bacterial SSU rRNA". It matches the Rfam family "Bacterial small subunit ribosomal RNA", at positions 370 to 779 of the family's 1533-position model. The record is from RNAcentral. Lineage: Bacteria; Pseudomonadati; Pseudomonadota; Gammaproteobacteria.
AAUGGGCGCAAGCCUGACGGAGCAAUGCCGCGUGUGGGAUGAAGCAUUUCGAUGUGUAAACCACUGUCAGAAUCUAGGAACACUGACCAGAUUCAGAGGAAGGGCCGGCUAACCUCGUGCCAGCAGCCGCGGUAAGACGAGGGGCCCGAGCGUUAAUCAGAAUCACUGGGCUAAAAGCGUGCGCAGGCGGUCUGGCAAGCAUCUUGUGAAAUCCCCCGGCUCAACCGGGGAACUGCAGGGUGAACUGCCAGACUUGAGGCAGGUAGGGGCUGAUGGAACCAUGAGUGGAGCGGUGAAAUGCGUAGAUAUUCAUGGGAACGCCGAUGGGGAAGCCGAUCAGCUGGGCCUGUCCUGACGCUCAGGCACGAAAGCGUGGGGAGCAAACAGGAUU